Molecule: ribosomal RNA, 818 nt
Filed under: uncultured bacterium
Lineage: Bacteria
Description: bacterial SSU rRNA
Rfam family: Bacterial small subunit ribosomal RNA
Source: RNAcentral
CGUGCCAGCAGCCGCGGUAAUACGAAGGUCCCGAGCGUUGUUCGGAAUCACUGGGCGUAAAGGGAGCGUAGGCGGCGUGGUAAGUCAGAUGUGAAAUCCCGGGGCUCAACCCCGGAACUGCAUCCGAUACUGCCGUGCUAGAGGAUUGGAGAGGUAGCUGGAAUUCACGGUGUAGCAGUGAAAUGCGUGGAUAUCGUGAGGAACACUCGUGGCGAAAGCGAGCUACUGGACAACUCCUGACGCUGAGGCUCGAAGGCCAGGGUAGCGAAAGGGAUUAGAUACCCCUGUAGUCCUGGCAGUAAACGGUGUGCGCUUGGUGUGAGGGGAAUCGACCCCCCUUGUGCCGGAGCUAACGCGUUAAGCGCACCGCCUGGGAAGUACGGUCGCAAGACUAAAACUCAAAGAAAUUGACGGGGACCCGCACAAGCGGUGGAGUAUGUGGCUUAAUUCGAUGCAACGCGAAGAACCUUACCAAGGCUUGACAUGCAUCUCUAAGCGCGUGAAAGCGCGUGACCCUUCGGGGGACUUCCACAGGUGCUGCAUGGCCGUCGUCAGCUCGUGUCGUGAGAUGUUGGGUUAAGUCCCGCAACGAGCGCAACCCCUGUGAUUAGUUGCCAGCACGUAAUGGUGGGGACUCUAGUCAGACUGCCCAGAUCAACUGGGAGGAAGGUGGGGACGACGUCAGGUCAGUAUGGCCCUUACGCCUUGGGCUGCACACGUACUACAAUGCCCAGUACAAUGAGAACCGAUGCCGCGAGGUGGAGGAAAUCUUGCUGAAAAACUCGAGCCAUCCGGAAGAUCUGGCGGCCGCUCUCCCU